CUAGAAAAGUCGGUUUGAGGUGAUUUUUAAUGCGUUUUUCUUUCAUAAUCAAUGGUUGAGGAUCGUUUUAGUUAGCGUGUGGUUGAGGAUUUGCUCCGCUAGAGUUGUUCGGAUGAAAUUUCAGCCUUGAGGUAGGUUUGAUUUAUCAUUCUCCUAGACUGGGAUUGGGUAAUUGAUCAUUCUUAUGUCUUAGAUUAUGGGAGGGGAUCGUAGUAUGAUUUUGGAUUGUGAGUUGUAUUGUGUUGCCCGUGUGGAGACUUGAUUAUAUUGUAUUGCCCGUGUGGGGGCUUGUAUGUGUUGUU
This is a long non-coding RNA of Solanum tuberosum (potato), 302 nucleotides long. RefSeq lists it as uncharacterized. The record is from RefSeq and is a predicted model, not a curated record. Lineage: Eukaryota; Viridiplantae; Streptophyta; Magnoliopsida; Solanales; Solanaceae. The transcript has 2 exons.